GUCCACGGCCAUACCACCUUGAAUGCGCCCAAUCUCAUCUGAUCUCGGAAGCUAAGCAGGGUUGGGCCUGGUUAGAACUGGGAUGGAAGAAAGACCAAGGACUUUGCUAUGGCUG
This 115-nucleotide ribosomal RNA is filed under the name Carlito syrichta (Philippine tarsier). Lineage: Eukaryota; Metazoa; Chordata; Mammalia; Primates; Tarsiidae. The record is from RNAcentral.